RNAcentral lists this non-coding RNA (784 nucleotides) under Nothochrysa sinica. Lineage: Eukaryota; Metazoa; Arthropoda; Insecta; Neuroptera; Chrysopidae. The record is from RNAcentral.
AAAGUUUUAUUUUAGCUAAUUAUUUAUUAAAUUUUUAUUUUACAUGUAAAUUUUUGUUAGAAAUUAUAUAAUUCUUAAAGAAUUAUUAAAUUUUAUUCGCAGUAUUAAAUUUUAAUAAUAAAAGAAAUUUUGAAUUGGUAAUAAAUUUUAGUAUAGGAUAAAUUUGUGCCAGCAUCUGCGGUUAUACAAAUUAUAUAAAUAAAUAUAAUUAGUUUUAGUUAAUUUGAUUUCAUUUAUGUAAAAAUAUUAAUUUUUAGGUUAAAUUAUAAAUUAAUAUUAAAAAUAUAAAAGAAUAUAUGAAGCUAAUAAAAUUUUAUAAUAAACUAGGAUUAGAUACCCUAUUAUUAAAAUUAAAUUAAAUAAUAAACUUAGGUAGUAAUAGAUAUAUUCUUGAAACUUAAAAAAUUUGGCGGUGUUUUAGUCUAUUUAGAGGAACCUGUUCUGUAAUUGAUAAUCCACGAUAAAUUAUACUAAUUUUUGUAUAAUUUGUAUACCGUCGUUAUCAGAAUAUUUUAAAAGAAAAUAAUAUUCAAAUAAUUUAAAUUAAAUUUUAUUUCAGAUCAAGGUGCAGUUUAUAUAUUAGAAGAAAUGGGUUACAAUAAAAAAAUUUAUAAUGAAUUAUUGAUUGAAAAAUUAAUAUAAAAGUGGAUUUAAUAGUAAUUUUAAAAGAAAUUUUUAAUUUGAUUAUAGCUCUAAAACAUGUACAUAUCGCCCGUCACUCUUUCUUUUAAAGAAAGAUAAGUCGUAACAUAGUAGAUGUACUGGAAAGUGUAUCUAGAAUGAU